AGUGAACGCUGGCGGUAGGCCUAACACAUGCAAGUCGAACGGCAGCACAGUAAGAGCUUGCUCUUACGGGUGGCGAGUGGCGGACGGGUGAGGAAUACAUCGGAAUCUACUUUUUCGUGGGGGAUAACGUAGGGAAACUUACGCUAAUACCGCAUACGACCUACGGGUGAAAGCAGGGGAUCUUCGGACCUUGCGCGAUUGAAUGAGCCGAUGUCGGAUUAGCUAGUUGGCGGGGUAAAGGCCCACCAAGUCGACGAUCCGUAGCUGGUCUGAGAGGAUGAUCAGCCACACUGGAACUGAGACACGGUCCAGACUCCUACGGGAGGCAGCAGUGGGGAAUAUUGGACAAUGGGCGCAAGCCUGAUCCAGCCAUACCGCGUGGGUGAAGAAGGCCUUCGGGUUGUAAAGCCCUUUUUUUGGGAAAGAAAAGCAGCAGGUUAAUACCCCGCUGUUCUGACGGUACCCAAAGAAUAAGCACCGGCUAACUUCGUG
RNAcentral lists this ribosomal RNA (492 nucleotides) under uncultured bacterium. RNAcentral describes it as "partial 16S ribosomal RNA". It matches the Rfam family "Bacterial small subunit ribosomal RNA", at positions 29 to 507 of the family's 1533-position model. The record is from RNAcentral.